RNAcentral lists this long non-coding RNA (1874 nucleotides) under Homo sapiens (human). RNAcentral's name for it is "HSALNT0058896". Lineage: Eukaryota; Metazoa; Chordata; Mammalia; Primates; Hominidae. The record is from RNAcentral.
AUAUAAAACAGGGGCUCAAGAGUGAGCCAUGUUGAGAUUGUAUAUCAGUUUUCUCUUGCCCUGAUUUGAAAAUCUUUCACUGUUUAAAUCUGUUGAUUUCUAAAUUGUAACUAUAAUGCCGGGACAGGAGAUGGGACCCCUAGUUUUUAUUUAGCACUUGACUGAAAUGUAACAUGACUUCAAGAUUCUUUUAUAUUAAAAAAAAAGUCAGCUAUUGUUCAUCUCCAGUGAAAUGAAUAAAACUUAGAUGACAGGGACUUAAAGGUAGACAAAAAGAUGUAGGACAGAGCCAAGGAAUUUAAACAAUUUUCAGAGUUCAGGGAAAAUGAUAAAAUCUCUUAAUCUAGAGAUAUUUAAGAAGAAGGCAGGGAUCUUUUCUCUAAAAUUGGGGGAGCAAAGGGUACUUCUUCGUGAACAACGGUAUCCAUCUAGUCUUUUUUGUACUACAAUAAGAAUAGCAAGACCGUGCUUCAGGAAAGCUGUCCAGUGUAAACAGGCCCCGCCUUGGAGUUCAUUGAGGACAGGUCUCUUUCUACAGAGGAGACCCAAGUGAAACUCUCUUGCUCUGGUGUUCUAGAAACUCAGUGGUGAAGGCUGAUCUGUGAUUCUUCCCCAGAUUCCUCGAAUUCAUGGGGGUUAAGGCCUAAGAUUUAACAUGCUCUUAACCUUGUUAACAAAGGUGCCUUCGUAUUGAGGAGACAUUAAAACUUAGCCACAUAAAUAUAUCUUGUCUCCUCCAGUGUUAAAAAAACAAAAAACAAAACUACUAUAAGCUGGGUGGAAUCAUGGUAAACAAAGCAUUUUCCAUUGCUUCAAGCACAGCAAAUAGAAUCUCUACCGAUAGUGCUUCUCCUUAGUUUCACCAGGGACAUUAGAUUCAUAGUGGUUCAUUUCAAAACCAUGCUUCCUCUUUCAGAGACUGUUUUGUCACCUGCAGGCUGAAGCGUUCUCCUUAGCUGAAGAUGCAAGCUUGCCCUACAGAAUGUUUGAACCUUCUGGUGGGUGCCUGGAGUUACGAAGAGAGGAGCUGCCAUUUUCUUUGCCCCGAGGAGCUGGCUCGGUGACCUCCUUCAGUCAUGGAAAGUCCCUUCCCCAGAUAGAGUCCAGCAUUCCACUGGCUUCUCCUGCUGCUAAAAUAAAACCGGGCGAAUCCCUCAGUAAACCGUGGAGCAUAAAGAGGACCACCAGGACUGUGGAGUCUGCUAGAAGGGUGGUCAAGAAGAGACCACUGCCCAAGAAUCCUCUCAUCUUGACCUGCCCCCAAGUAAAGGAGGAAUCGUUAAAUGGCCACUGACCCUGAGGAGCUCAUCAUCUAGGAGCUACAAAUAAAAGCAGUUAAACUUACUUAUGGUUUGAGUGAUCAAUAAAAUAUUUUACUCAUUCAACUGUAUAAGAGGAUAGAUUGCAUAAAAUAAUGGUGGCUAGCAAAAAUACACAUCUGUUGUACUGUUCUAUUUUGAGCCAUUUGAGGAACAAAGGCCAUGGGGAAAGAGGAAGAAGAAUGAUGUAGGUAGAAAGAAAGAGACUGGAGGGAAAGAAAUAAAAGAGGGACUUGCACACACACACACACACACACACACACACACAUUUAGUAAAAGAAAAAUUUCUACAGAAAAGAAGGCCUACUGGGUAGUCUUUAUGAAAAUUCUGUGAAAGAGUUUAAAGCUAUGUUGGAUGUUUGCAAUCAGUGGUAUAAUUAUCUAUCUAUCUAUCUAUCUAUCUAUUUAUCUAUCAUCUAUCUAUCUAUCUAUCUAACCAUUCAACUAUCCAUCCAUCUGUCCAUCCCAUCUUUCUAUCCAAUGUAUCCACAUAGACUUAACAAGUUUUGAUGUUUGUCUUGUUGAACAAAUGAACUCAAUGCAUCAGUGUUUUAA